UACGUAGGCAGCAAGCGUUGUUCGGAAUUACUGGGCGUAAAGAGUGUGUAGGCGGUGUUCUAAGUCUGUUGUGAAAUCUCCCGGCUUAACUGGGAGGGUGCGCCGAAUACUGAAUGACUAGAGUGCGGGAGAGGAAAGUGGAAUUCCUGGUGUAGCGGUGAAAUGCGCAGAUAUCAGGAGGAACACCGGUGGCGAAGGCGGGUCUCUGGGCCGGAACUGACGCUGAGGAGCGAAAGCGUGGGGAGCGAACAGG
Molecule: ribosomal RNA, 253 nt
Filed under: uncultured bacterium
Lineage: Bacteria
Description: partial 16S ribosomal RNA
Rfam family: Bacterial small subunit ribosomal RNA
Source: RNAcentral